This 374-nucleotide unclassified non-coding RNA is filed under the name Mollisia sp. Its description in RNAcentral is "partial contains 5.8S ribosomal RNA, internal transcribed spacer 2, and large subunit ribosomal RNA". Lineage: Eukaryota; Fungi; Ascomycota; Leotiomycetes; Helotiales; Mollisiaceae. The record is from RNAcentral.
AACGCGCAUUGCGCUCUCUGGUAUUCCGGAGAGCAUGCUUGUUUGAGUAUCAGUACAACACCCUCAGCUCCCUGUUCUCUCUCUGAGAGCAGCAGGAAGUUGGACUUGAGUGAUUCCAACGGCGGUAGAAACCGCUGGCGGGCCGCUUGAAAUGCAGGUGCGGCAGGACACAUCUUCUGAGCUAUAAGCAUUACUUAUUUAGUCCCGUUAAACGGAUUAUCUCUAUUGCUGCAGCUAAGAUACUAAAGGUCGAUUGCCCUUUUUGCCCGACUGAUGCAGGAAAAUGAAGCCGAUCUUUUGGGGGGGGUAAAACUUCCCGAGACGACUUUGUUCAACUCGAUCUCAAAUCAAGCAAGACUACCCGCUGAACUUAA